CCCGCCCGAGUGGGGAAACCAGGCGACCCCACAAGCCAGUGAAACCCAGCACCCCUUACGCCCCCACUCAUCCCCUCAGCCCCGUGGUCACAGACAGGUGGGCCAGCCGUUCCCGCCCCUCCGGCCGCCUUCCCACCCGUAGGGCACGGCCCGCAUUGAAACGGGGCAGCGCCGAGCCCGUGGGACGGGCCCACGUGAAAGCAAUCCGGGACGGCUGGAAGUGGGCCCCACAGAACCUCCGCUGUUUAGUUUACUCGGCCGCACACAUGCCGGUUUCCGUUUCUUGCUUGUCUCGCCUCGCCGCCUCGCUGCCGCGGUCAACUCCUCUCCUCCUUGCCUGCCUCCACCACGUCUCCGUGCCGCCCAGAACCAGAAGCAUUCCCUCAAACACCUCGCGGGCGCCUCUGACCCCGCCUCCCUCCAUGGCCGCGCCCUAGAGACUACACUGUCGCAGCCGCUUCGGUGCUCCGGCUCCACCCAUGCCGCACUGCCGCCUCCUCCUGGCCGCCGUGGCCCUUCUGGGGGCAGUGGNNNNN
This 536-nucleotide long non-coding RNA is filed under the name Hordeum vulgare. RNAcentral's name for it is "long non-coding RNA (HVUL_LNC004382)". The record is from RNAcentral. Lineage: Eukaryota; Viridiplantae; Streptophyta; Magnoliopsida; Poales; Poaceae.